Molecule: long non-coding RNA, 495 nt
Organism: Seriola aureovittata
Lineage: Eukaryota; Metazoa; Chordata; Actinopteri; Carangiformes; Carangidae
Exons: 4
Source: RefSeq, a predicted model, not a curated record
GUACAGCUUCUUCUUGCCUGCGGACGGCCGAGGCCAGAGGAGGAGAAGGACGAUGAGAGAUGCCCGGAGGAACAUCGCAUGGCCGCGGGUUGCGCGAAUUACCCGCGGAGGGCUUCUGCUCCCUAUCAGCAUGGUUCAAGUUCACAGCUGAAAGAGACAUGGAAAGAUCAGAGGGAGAGCUGGACGUUAAAGGUCAAAGGUCGCAGCUGAUCCAGGGUCACGGCUUCGGUGAGCAAAUUUGCCAUCAGAACCAGCAGACUGCUCGGCCUCUGUAGCGGAUCCCCCCGUCCCUGGGAGGCCGGAUGAUGGCACAGCCUGAAAAAAGGAAGAAGAGGAAGAAGAAUGAAGGAAGAUAGGUCAAUGGCUGCAUCCACCCGAUCUUUCCCAGUGGCACCGCCGCCGCAGGCCCCACCUUCUUCCUGAACUUUGACGUCGGACUCGGCUCCAACGGGGGGACUACGCCCAGCGCACACAGUGGGGCGCCCUCCCUCGGCC